CCAAAGCCAGCAUUCUUCUCCUGAUUAUGACAUGCACCAAAGAGGCAUCCCCUGAGCUGGAUGUUUAAAUCAGAGCCCACAGCUGAAGUGAGCACCAAGAUGUACUGAGCAAGUGUGGACUCUUACUGAUCCAAGUGGCAGCAGCAGCUUCAAGGGUGAACUGUUGCUCAGCAGAGAAAUGGCAGGAAAAAAUAGGACAUUCGCUUCUGGCCUUAGUCCUGUUGGAACACAAAAAGUGGAGUCUGCAAUGCUGUUGGAGGCUCAACAGGUCAAAUACAUCAGUAAUGGGCAUGGUAUGGCUGGGGUCAUACGGAGACAGUCCUUAGAGCACUGAAAAUGUGAUCAUCCUGAAUCCCAUAAGGAUCCUUAUGAGGUUAGAAGGGACAAUGUGGCUCCACUUUGAUGACUGACAGCAGUUGCUUUGGUGAGUUUCUACGUAUUCCCUUGUGAUCAGAGAGUGGUACAGGACAGCAUGUCAAAAUCGUAAACCACCAUCUCAGAGCAAGGCCCCUUAGUUACAAUAUUAAAAAGAUCAGAGAAAUUGGCACAUAGCAUCAUUUAGAAAUCUGUCUUCAGGCAUCUUUGUCUGGCCUGGCUGGAAAUAGUAAAACCAUAUUUAUGUCAUUGAGAAAAAGGUUCUUAAUUAAAUUCAAAUGUAUAAGAAUAUAUCGUAGGUCUAUUUUUGGAACAAUAAUCUGGGAACAAAAAAAAAUCUAAACAGCAACAAAACUUGUACAAUAGCAUUUAGCUUCAGACAGCAGCAUACAAUAGAGAAGAAGGAGUCCUCAUAGACUCUGGACUCUUAGAUUGAUUCAAUCCCACAAGCUAGAGCACCAAAGUCAUGGCACUGGGACAUUUAGGAAGAGGAACUCUAGCAGUGACCUGAUUAGGAGACAGCUCCAGCAGAGAGUCAG
This 914-nucleotide long non-coding RNA is filed under the name Homo sapiens (human). RNAcentral describes it as "HSALNT0372987". The record is from RNAcentral. Lineage: Eukaryota; Metazoa; Chordata; Mammalia; Primates; Hominidae.